Molecule: long non-coding RNA, 774 nt
Organism: Bos taurus (domestic cattle)
Lineage: Eukaryota; Metazoa; Chordata; Mammalia; Artiodactyla; Bovidae
Source: Ensembl
GGUCAAUGUGGGCUAGUUGGCUCUUCUCAUUUGUGAAGGAAACUAAUUAAGAAACUUGUAAAGAGCUGGGAUAAUAUCAUCAAAGCUCGUGUUGCAAUUAGAAAGAUUCUUAACUCUCCGAAAUUUUUGUCAUCCCCAAAAGACACUCUGUACCCGUGAAACACAAGCUCUCCACCUCCUUCUAACCUCUGAAAGAAGAAAUUUGACAAAAGAAAGAGAGUGGCAUUAUCUGACAGAAAGAAAAAAUUCCCCCUACUCAUUGGAAAAUACCUGAACUUGGAAGAAGGGGGCAGGGGAGGAUCUAGGGAGAGAAAAACUGGAGAAGACGAUAAGGGAAAAGCCCUGUGAUGAAGAGGCUGCAAGUUCUGAUGUCCAAGAGGUAAGAAGGGCUUAAAAUCUGGAAAUGAAGGCAGGUGGCACAGUGGUAACGAGUCUGCCUGCCAGUGCAGGAGACGCAGGAGACCCGGGUUCGAUUCCUGGGUGGGGAAGAUUCCCUGGAGGAAGGAAAGGCAACCCACUCCAGUAUGCUGGCCUGGAGAAUUCCAUGGACAGAGGAGCCUGGCAGGCUACAGUCCUUGAGACCGCAGAGUUGGACACGACUGAGCAAACACAGUGAAGGCACCACGGGGUCAGUGAAGGAUGGAGAGAAGGGAUGACAGGUGAAUUGCAGGGCAACCUGACCAAGGCCAUGGAGGCUGUUGUCCUUCACCCUCGCAGAAAAGAAGCAAGCGUGUCCCCAGAAGCUGAGGCUUCUGGUAAAACGGAGCAGGGUCC